This 68-nucleotide transfer RNA is filed under the name Marmota marmota marmota (Alpine marmot). It matches the Rfam family "tRNA". From Rfam's summary of the family: Transfer RNA (tRNA) molecules are approximately 80 nucleotides in length. The record is from Rfam by way of RNAcentral. RNAcentral also lists the same sequence under 1 other name. Lineage: Eukaryota; Metazoa; Chordata; Mammalia; Rodentia; Sciuridae.
GGUGUUUAGCUGCGUGGUAAAGUGUUUGCCUAGCAUGCAUGAGAUUCUGGGUUCAAUUCCUAGUACCA